AUCGCUUCUCGGCCUUUUGGCUAAGAUCAAGUGUAGUAUCUGUUCUUAUCAGUUUAAAAGAUUUUAUUUAUUUAUUUAUUUAUUUGAGAGAGAGAGAGAGAGAGAGAGAGAAAGAGACAGCAU
Molecule: small nuclear RNA, 123 nt
Filed under: Zalophus californianus (California sea lion)
Lineage: Eukaryota; Metazoa; Chordata; Mammalia; Carnivora; Otariidae
Description: U2 spliceosomal RNA (ENSZCAG00015005330.1)
Rfam family: U2 spliceosomal RNA
About the family: U2 is a small nuclear RNA (snRNA) component of the spliceosome (involved in pre-mRNA splicing). Complementary binding between U2 snRNA (in an area lying towards the 5' end but 3' to hairpin I) and the branchpoint sequence (BPS) of the intron results the bulging out of an unpaired adenosine, on the BPS, which initiates a nucleophilic attack at the intronic 5' splice site, thus starting the first of two transesterification reactions that mediate splicing.
Source: RNAcentral